RNAcentral lists this small RNA (787 nucleotides) under Pongo abelii (Sumatran orangutan). Its description in RNAcentral is "processed transcript". The record is from RNAcentral. Lineage: Eukaryota; Metazoa; Chordata; Mammalia; Primates; Hominidae.
GCCGCAGAAACCAGACUGGGGGCGAGCUGAGCACCUGUAGUCAAUCACACGCAGGAAAAACCAGCUCUCACACCUGCUCCUCUGUAAAGCGUCUUCCCCAAGCCCACACAUAAUUUUGUUGCUGUCCUUGAAAGUAUUUCCCAAGAUCUCCAAACCGCUUUAAACUUCCAAGGUCUGAGCCUUACCUGGCCUCACUAACAAAGGCUUCCACUGAUGCUGACUCUAAGAAGAAAGUUUUCAAGUUUCUUCGUAUUUGAACUUUCUAUGGCUAGGCUUGUGUUUAAAAUAACCACACUGGUUUAAACAUGGUCUUACAGUCUUCAGUGGCUCCCAGGUCUUGCCUCUCAGGUUUUUUUUCCUCUUUCCUUUGAAUGUGCCUUAACCUUCAUCUUGCUUUUAUUUACCUCUGAGUCUGGUUUAGAGCUACCUGGAAAUUGAAUGGAAUCUUUAGUCUAUUAGUCUAAUCUAGAGUCCUUACCUUCUGGCCUUUGCUCAUUGCAGAGCACCCACAUUAUUAGUCAGUUGUACCACAGAUACUGUGUUACGUAAGGUGAGGAGAGGGAGGUGGUGUUAUCAGUUCCACUUUUUCCAGGCUAGAGUGCAGUGUCCCAAUCUCAGCGCACUGCAACCUCUGCUUCCCGGGUUCAAGCGAUUUUCCUGCCUCAGCCUCUCAUUUUAUCUUGGAUAAAAGAGAAGCUUUGAAAGAUUGCCUCCCUAUGUGCACAGUCACUGUAGGCAUAUAUUUGUGUACUGUUUACUUAGUUAUGUCAAUGAGGGCAAUAAAAAA